GACGAACGCUGGCGGCGCGCUUAACACAUGCAAGUCGAACGGAAAGGCCUGCUUUCCCUUGUGGAUUGCGGGUACUCGAGUGGCGAACGGGUGAGUAACACGUGAGUGAUCUGCCCCCAACCUGGGUAUAAGCCUGGGAAACUGGGUCUAAUUCCCGAUAGGACUGCAGGGUGGUGCCUGUGGUGGAAAACGAUUUUCUAGUGGUUGGGGAUGAGCUCGCGGCCUAUCAGCUUGUUGGUGGGGUAAUGGCCUACCAAGGCGGCGACGGGUAGCCGGCCUGAGAGGGUGGACGGCCACAUUGGGACUGAGAUACGGCCCAGACUCCUACGGGAGGCAGCAGUGGGGAAUAUUGCACAAUGGGCGGAAGCCUGAUGCAGCGACGCCGCGUGGGGGAUGACGGCCUUCGGGUUGUAAACUCCUUUCGACCGCGAGGAAGCCACCUGGUUGGAAGGGUGGUGACGGUAGUGGUAGAAGAAGCACCGGCUAACUACGUG
Molecule: ribosomal RNA, 494 nt
Filed under: uncultured bacterium
Lineage: Bacteria
Description: partial 16S ribosomal RNA
Rfam family: Bacterial small subunit ribosomal RNA
Source: RNAcentral